RNAcentral lists this ribosomal RNA (2741 nucleotides) under Escherichia coli. Its description in RNAcentral is "partial 23S ribosomal RNA". It matches the Rfam family "Bacterial large subunit ribosomal RNA". Lineage: Bacteria; Pseudomonadati; Pseudomonadota; Gammaproteobacteria; Enterobacterales; Enterobacteriaceae. The record is from RNAcentral.
CAUAGGUUAAUGAGGCGAACCGGGGGAACUGAAACAUCUAAGUACCCCGAGGAAAAGAAAUCAACCGAGAUUCCCCCAGUAGCGGCGAGCGAACGGGGAGGAGCCCAGAGCCUGAAUCAGUGUGUGUGUUAGUGGAAGCGUCUGGAAAGGCGCGCGAUACAGGGUGACAGCCCCGUACACAAAAAUGCACAUAUUGUGAGCUCGAUGAGUAGGGCGGGACACGUGGUAUCCUGUCUGAAUAUGGGGGGACCAUCCUCCAAGGCUAAAUACUCCUGACUGACCGAUAGUGAACCAGUACCGUGAGGGAAAGGCGAAAAGAACCCCGGCGAGGGGAGUGAAAAAGAACCUGAAACCGUGUACGUACAAGCAGUGGGAGCCUCUUAAUGGGGUGACUGCGUACCUUUUGUAUAAUGGGUCAGCGACUUAUAUUCUGUAGCAAGGUUAACCGAAUAGGGGAGCCGAAGGGAAACCGAGUCUUAACUGGGCGUUAAGUUGCAGGGUAUAGACCCGAAACCCGGUGAUCUAGCCAUGGGCAGGUUGAAGGUUGGGUAACACUAACUGGAGGACCGAACCGACUAAUGUUGAAAAAUUAGCGGAUGACUUGUGGCUGGGGGUGAAAGGCCAAUCAAACCGGGAGAUAGCUGGUUCUCCCCGAAAGCUAUUUAGGUAGCGCCUCGUGAAUUCAUCUCCGGGGGUAGAGCACUGUUUCGGCAAGGGGGUCAUCCCGACUUACCAACCCGAUGCAAACUGCGAAUACCGGAGAAUGUUAUCACGGGAGACACACGGCGGGUGCUAACGUCCGUCGUGAAGAGGGAAACAACCCAGACCGCCAGCUAAGGUCCCAAAGUCAUGGUUAAGUGGGAAACGAUGUGGGAAGGCCCAGACAGCCAGGAUGUUGGCUUAGAAGCAGCCAUCAUUUAAAGAAAGCGUAAUAGCUCACUGGUCGAGUCGGCCUGCGCGGAAGAUGUAACGGGGCUAAACCAUGCACCGAAGCUGCGGCAGCGACACUAUGUGUUGUUGGGUAGGGGAGCGUUCUGUAAGCCUGUGAAGGUGUACUGUGAGGUAUGCUGGAGGUAUCAGAAGUGCGAAUGCUGACAUAAGUAACGAUAAAGCGGGUGAAAAGCCCGCUCGCCGGAAGACCAAGGGUUCCUGUCCAACGUUAAUCGGGGCAGGGUGAGUCGACCCCUAAGGCGAGGCCGAAAGGCGUAGUCGAUGGGAAACAGGUUAAUAUUCCUGUACUUGGUGUUACUGCGAAGGGGGGACGGAGAAGGCUAUGUUGGCCGGGCGACGGUUGUCCCGGUUUAAGCGUGUAGGCUGGUUUUCCAGGCAAAUCCGGAAAAUCAAGGCUGAGGCGUGAUGACGAGGCACUACGGUGCUGAAGCGACAAAUGCCCUGCUUCCAGGAAAAGCCUCUAAGCAUCAGGUAACAUCAAAUCGUACCCCAAACCGACACAGGUGGUCAGGUAGAGAAUACCAAGGCGCUUGAGAGAACUCGGGUGAAGGAACUAGGCAAAAUGGUGCCGUAACUUCGGGAGAAGGCACGCUGAUAUGUAGGUGAAGCGACUUGCUCGUGGAGCUGAAAUCAGUCGAAGAUACCAGCUGGCUGCAACUGUUUAUUAAAAACACAGCACUGUGCAAACACGAAAGUGGACGUAUACGGUGUGACGCCUGCCCGGUGCCGGAAGGUUAAUUGAUGGGGUUAGCGGUAACGCGAAGCUCUUGAUCGAAGCCCCGGUAAACGGCGGCCGUAACUAUAACGGUCCUAAGGUAGCGAAAUUCCUUGUCGGGUAAGUUCCGACCUGCACGAAUGGCGUAAUGAUGGCCAGGCUGUCUCCACCCGAGACUCAGUGAAAUUGAACUCGCUGUGAAGAUGCAGUGUACCCGCGGCAAGACGGAAAGACCCCGUGAACCUUUACUAUAGCUUGACACUGAACAUUGAGCCUUGAUGUGUAGGAUAGGUGGGAGGCUUUGAAGUGUGGACGCCAGUCUGCAUGGAGCCGACCUUGAAAUACCACCCUUUAAUGUUUGAUGUUCUAACGUGGGCCCCUUACCGGGGUUGCGGACAGUGUCUGGUGGGUAGUUUGACUGGGGCGGUCUCCUCCUAAAGAGUAACGGAGGAGCACGAAGGUUGGCUAAUCCUGGUCGGACAUCAGGAGGUUAGUGCAAUGGCAUAAGCCAGCUUGACUGCGAGCGUGACGGCGCGAGCAGGUGCGAAAGCAGGUCAUAGUGAUCCGGUGGUUCUGAAUGGAAGGGCCAUCGCUCAACGGAUAAAAGGUACUCCGGGGAUAACAGGCUGAUACCGCCCAAGAGUUCAUAUCGACGGCGGUGUUUGGCACCUCGAUGUCGGCUCAUCACAUCCUGGGGCUGAAGUAGGUCCCAAGGGUAUGGCUGUUCGCCAUUUAAAGUGGUACGCGAGCUGGGUUUAGAACGUCGUGAGACAGUUCGGUCCCUAUCUGCCGUGGGCGCUGGAGAACUGAGGGGGGCUGCUCCUAGUACGAGAGGACCGGAGUGGACGCAUCACUGGUGUUCGGGUUGUCAUGCCAAUGGCACUGCCCGGUAGCUAAAUGCGGAAGAGAUAAGUGCUGAAAGCAUCUAAGCACGAAACUUGCCCCGAGAUGAGUUCUCCCUGACUCCUUGAGAGUCCUGAAGGAACGUUGAAGACGACGACGUUGAUAGGCCGGGUGUGUAAGCGCAGCGAUGCGUUGAGCUAACCGGUACUAAUGAACCGUGAGGCUUAACCUU